RNAcentral lists this long non-coding RNA (319 nucleotides) under Ananas comosus (pineapple). RNAcentral describes it as "long non-coding RNA (ACOM_LNC000742)". The record is from RNAcentral. Lineage: Eukaryota; Viridiplantae; Streptophyta; Magnoliopsida; Poales; Bromeliaceae.
ACCAAGGCUCACGUGCCAUCGGCACAAUCUGAUACAAGAUAGAGGAAUCUGGGUCCACCGUUAGCCCCGACGGCACCCGACAGUACGGAACAGACCAACUCUACUGUAACCACGGGCUCAGCCCCUCAGCACCAGCGUAAUCUCAACCUACACUAAUUUAAAUAUCCACAGCACACUAACAACGGUGAUACAAAAAAAAAAAUAGCUCCUGAAGCUAAUUCUGUUAACUUUUUCAAAAAAUGUCAAGUGUGGGUUUACCGAGUUUUCUCCUAAGUCAAAUUCCAGUUCAGCAUAUAAGAUUUAUCUAACAUCAGUACAU